This is a long non-coding RNA of Xenia sp. Carnegie-2017, 1022 nucleotides long. RefSeq lists it as uncharacterized. The record is from RefSeq and is a predicted model, not a curated record. Lineage: Eukaryota; Metazoa; Cnidaria; Anthozoa; Malacalcyonacea; Xeniidae. The transcript has 3 exons.
AGUGUUGUGGCUAGAGUUGUCCAUGAACUAGAUCCCCAGGCCAGUAAUGAAAGAAAGGGAAAUAAACUUAAACUGUGAAAGUACUUGUCUUAUGGUCCUAAUCACUGUUGGCAUAUUGAUGGAUAUGAUAAGCUCAAACCCUUUGGCUUCCCUAUACAUACAACAAUUGAUGGCUUUAGUAGGAAGGUUUUGUGGUUAAAGAUAUGCAAGUCAAACAACUCUCCAAAAGAGCCAACAAAAUUGUAUUUGGAUUGUGUGAUCGAACAUGAUGGAUGCCCCUUGUUAACUCGUUCAGAUUAUGGAACAGAAAAUGGUGAUAUUGCAGCCAUUCAAUGUUAUUUUCAUGAUGAUGAGAAUGCUCAUAAAUAUGAAACAUCCACUAGAAACCAAAGGAUUGAAAACUGGUGGUCACAUUUUCGUAAGUCUUGUACUGAUUGGUGGAUUUUCGAGGAUUUACGGGAUAGCGGAUCAGUGAACUUUGAAAGCACAUUACACAGACAGUGCUUAUGGUUCUGUUUCCAAGAUGUAAUUCAAGCAUCAUUAAACAAAAUGAAAGCGUACUGGAAUACGCAUUAUAUUAGGUCAUCUCGCCAUGAAACCACUCCAGGAGUUCCUGAUUUAUUAUUUUAUUUGCCAAAAGAUUCUGGGGGUGUUAACUGUCUUGUUAGGGUCAGUCAGGAUAAAAUUGAUGAAAUGAAAUUGCGUCACUUCGAAGACACCAAUGACGAAAGUUCAUAUCAGGAAUACUUUCAGUAUGUUAUGGAUCACGAAGGUGUCAGAUAUCCAGACAGUCCUAAGGAGGCCUUAGAUUUGUUUUGCUAUUUAACGGAAAAAGCUGGAACUGAAGAUUCCUUUUGUGAUGAAAUUUAAUGUUCAUUACAUAUGCCAAAAUGCAUUGCUCUUUCGUAACAAGAGCUUUAGAGUACUAACAUGAAAGAUUGAUAACAUGCUUCAAAUUGGAUUCAUUGUUACCUAACGUUUUUUUAACAAAACAAUUAAAUAUGAACUUAACUAAUAACUAA